Molecule: long non-coding RNA, 2324 nt
Organism: Oncorhynchus keta (chum salmon)
Lineage: Eukaryota; Metazoa; Chordata; Actinopteri; Salmoniformes; Salmonidae
Exons: 3
Source: RefSeq, a predicted model, not a curated record
ACCAGUUUCUAACACACAACAUAACCAGUUUCUAACACACAACAUAACCAGUUUCUAACACACAUGUUCAGUUUCUAACACACAACAUGUUCAGUUUCUACACACACAACAUAACAGUAUCAGUUUCUAACACACAACAUAACAGUAUCAGUUUCGAGCACACAACACAACAUGUUCAGUUUCUAACACACAACAUGAUCAGUUUCUAACACACAACAUAACAGUAUCAGUUUCGAGCACACAACACAACAUGUUCAGUUUCUAACACACAACAUGAUCAGUUUCUAACACACAACAUAACAUGAUCAGUUUCUAACACACAACAUGUUCAGUUUCUAACACACAACAUGUUCAGUUUCUAACACACAACAUGAUCAGUUUCUAACACACAACAUGUUCAGUUUCUAACACACAACAUAACAUGAUCAGUUUCUAACACACAAACAUGAUCAGUUUCUAACACACAACAUGUUCAGUUUCUAACACACAACAUAACAUGAUCAGUUUCUAACACACAAACAUGAUCAGUUUCUAACACACAACAUGUUCAGUUUCUAACACACAACAUAACAUGAUCAGUUUCUAACACACAAACAUGAUCAGUUUCUAACACACAACAUGUUCAGUUUCUAACACACAACAUGAUCAGUUUCUAACACACAACAUAACAGUAUCAGUUUCGAGCACACAACACAACAUGUUCAGUUUCUAACACACAACAUGAUCAGUUUCUAACACACAACAUAACAUGAUCAGUUUCUAACACACAACAUGUUCAGUUUCUAACACACAACAUGUUCAGUUUCUAACACACAACAUGAUCAGUUUCUAACACACACAACAUGUUCAGUUUCUAACACACAACAUAACAUGAUCAGUUUCUAACACACAAACAUGAUCAGUUUCUAACACACAACAUGUUCAGUUUCUAACUAACAACACAACAUGUUCAGUUUCUAACACACAACAUAACAGGAUCAGUUUCUAACACACAACACGUUCAGUUUCUAACACACAACACGUUCAGUUUCUAACACACAACAUAACAGGAUCAGUUUCUAACACACAACAUGUUCAGUUUCUAACACACAACAUAACAUGAUCAGUUUCUAACACACAACAUGUUCAGUUUCUAACUAACAACACAACAUGUUCAGUUUCUAACACACAACAUAAUCAGUUUCUAACACACAACACAACAGGUUCAGUUUCUACCACACAACAUAACAGGUUCAGUUUCUACCACACAACAUAACAGGUUCAGUUUCUACACACAACAUAACAGGUUCAGUUUCUAACACACAACAUAACAGGACCAGUUUCUAACACACAACAUAACAGGAUCAGUUUCUACACACAACAUAACAGGUUCAGUUUCUACACACAACAUAACAGGUUCAGUUUCUACACACAACAUAACAGGUUCAGUUUCUAACACACAACAUAACAGGACCAGUUUCUAACACACAACAUAACAGGAUCAGUUUCUACACACAACAUAACAGGUUCAGUUUCUACACACAACAUAACAGGAUCAGUUUCUACACACACAACAUAACAAGAUCCGUUUCUAACGCACAACAUAACAUGAUCAGCUUCUACACACAACAUAACAGGAUCAGUUUCUAACACACAACAUGAUCAGUUUCUAACACACAACAUAACAUGUUCAGUUUCUACACACAACAUAACAGGAUCAGUUUCUAACACACAACAUAACAGGAUCAGUUUCUAACACACAACAUAACAGGAUCAGUUUCUAACACACAACAUGAUCAGUUUCUAACACACAACAUAACCAGUUUCUAACACACAACAUAACAAGAUCCGUUUCUAACGCACAACAUAACAUGAUCAGCUUCUACACACAACAUAACAGGAUCAGUUUCUAACACACAACAUGAUCAGUUUCUAACACACAACAUAACCAGUUUCUAACACACAACAUAACAUGUUCAGUUUCUACACACAACAUAACAGGAUCAGUUUCUAACACACAACAUAACAGGAUUAGUUUCUAACACACAACAUAACCAGUUUCUAACACACAACAUAACCAGUUUCUAACACACAACAUAACAUGUUCAGUUUCUAGCACACAACAUAACAUGUUCAGUUUCUAGCACACAACUGCUUUUAAACGCUAGUAAAACUAAAUGCAUGCUUUUCAACCCAUCGCUGCCCGCACCCGCCCGCCGGACCAGCAUCACUACUCUGGACGGUUCUGAUUUAGAAUAUGUGGACAACUACAAAUACCUAGGUGUCUGGAUAGACUGUAAACUCUCAUUCCAGGGUCACAUUAAACAUCUCCAAUACAAAAUUAA